This is a long non-coding RNA of Mus musculus (house mouse), 1557 nucleotides long. RefSeq annotates it as predicted gene, 31889. NCBI's taxonomy places the organism in Eukaryota, Metazoa, Chordata, Mammalia, Rodentia, Muridae. The record is from RefSeq and is a predicted model, not a curated record. The transcript is spliced from 3 exons.
UGUGCCUGUAUGAUGUGUGUAGGACAGAUGUGUUCAUGAUAUGUGUGUGAGCAUGGCGUGUGUGUAUGCAUGAUGUAUUAAGAGCUAUCUUACUAGCCCAUCCUUUGUUUUUUGACUAUUGGUGUAAUGUCAUCAGCUGCUUCAAGCUCAUGCUGCCUUGAUUCCCCCACCAUGGUGGACCAUAUCUUGACUGUAGGGUAGAAUAAACCCUUUCUCUCUUCAGUACAUUAUGUAAUUCAGAUGGCAGAAAUGUGUGUGUAUGCAUUAUGUGUAUGUGUGUGCAUUAUGCGUGUGUGCAAUGUGUGUGUGUGGCAUGUGGUGUGCUGUGAUGUACAUGUGUAGCUGAGAGGACAACACUGUGGAGUUGGUUCUCUCCUUCCACACUUUAGUGUGGCUUGGGGCAUUGGAUUCAGGUCUCCAGGUUUGCCUGCCAGUGUCAGUACUCAGUAAGCCGUCCCGCUAGCCUGCCAGUGUCUGUACCCAGUAAGCUGUCCCGCUUGCCUGCCAGUGUCCGUACCCAGUAAGCUGUCCCGCUUGCCUGCCAGUGUCCGUACCCAGUAAGCUGUCCCGCUUGCCUGCCAGUGUCCGUACCCAGUAAGCUGUCCCGCUUGCCUGCCAGUGUCCGUACCCAGUAAGCUGUCCCGCUUGCCUGCCAGUGUCCGUACCCAGUAAGCUGUCCCGCUUGCCUGCCAGUGUCCGUACCCAGUAAGCUGUCCCGCUUGCCUGCCAGUGUCCGUACCCAGUAAGCUGUCCCGCUUGCCUGCCAGUGUCAAUACCCAGUAAGCUGCCCCACUGGCCCGUUCUUUGCCUUUUGGCUGUUGACGCAAUGUGACCAGCUGCUAAAGGUCCUGCUGUCUCGACUGCCCACCAUGAUGGCCUUCUCUCGACUGUAGGCUUCAGGUGAUCCCACACCACAUCAGCCAGCAAGAACGGCCUAUUGUCAGGCUGCCAACCUUUAAUGGAGAUUGGACAUCAACCUCUGAGAAGACCCCUGGAGGAGUGCAGAAGCUACAGCGGGGAGCUGGUUAACCCUGAAAGCCUUUAAGGGAAGAAGGGAGGAAGAUGAAGAUACAUAUGGGUCUGUGUUGGGGUCAAGAGCCCCCUGCUUGAAGAACAUAAACCUACACUCAUUCACUGUUAGAUCCGAGGCAGCUGGAGCAUCAAGGCACCCUCUGAAGAUGGCGCCUCUGGUUGGAGGACUCAAGGCUGCAGUUGAACUGCGCAGGUUGAGAGCGCUUGCUCCAUUCCCCUGACUCAGACCUUGGUGACCCCGUCUUGGGCCGUUUCUUUGUCACCAGACAACUGGAGUCCAUUAUCCUCCAGUAGCAUCACAUAGCCUUGUGAUGGGGGUGGGGUGCACCUCAGCAGUUAGCUGUUAAAUUUGUGGUCCAGGCAGAUGUGGUGGUAAAUGGCUUUGAUUUCAGCACUUGGGCGGCAGUGGCAGCCAGAUCUUCGUGAGUUCAAGGCUAGUGUGUUCCACAUAGCGAGCACUAAGUGAGUCAGAGCAGCAUAGUGAGAGCCUGUCUCCAUGACAACGAAAUAAAGAAAUGGAACUGA